AUGCGGCUGCCUCCGAAUGCCAGCAGCGUCACCGGGAAAGGGACUCGUGCAGCGACUGCCAAGGGACUGCGGGGCCAGGGCCGGGCGCACGGCGUCCUUCCCCUGCCCCCCUUUCCCCAGCCCACCCCCGGCCCCUGGCAGCCCUCACCUCCACGUCCUGCUCCGUCAGAGCCACGCUGCGGAAAGAGAAGCGCUGUCAGAGGUGGUGGCACCGGGGGGGGGCUGCAUGCCGAAAACGCACGUGGUCUGCUCCCACGGGUGCCGGCCACCACCAGAAUUGGGGACCCCCGUCUGCAGAGCGGCUCUCGUGCCACGGGAAGCCCAGUCCCCGGAGCAUGCCGUGCCCCGGGACCCCCCAUCCUGCAGCCCCUGGUGCUCGCCCCUUUUACCUCUGCAGGCCCAGUCUCUCCAGCACCGAGAGCUCACCGGGGAAGCUCAGCAGCGGCUCCUCCAGGGUUUCUGCAUCUGCAGGGAGGCAGUAACGCCGCUGGAGAGACCGCUCAUGAAGGCUUUUGGUCUGCUUUUCCUCCUCCCUCUGCCCUCCUGUCCCAGCAUGAGAACAUCCUGAUCCUUCCCCCAGCACCAGCAGGGUUUCACGUCCCCCAAACCAGUCCCCGGGUCUCCACGACGGGAGCCAAACCCCAUCAGACCCCAACAACCCACGCUGGUCCCCAGACACUUCAAGCCCCACCACGAGGGGACCCAGCCGGGGACCCGGGUUGGGGACUCACCUUCCUCGGUCCUGUCACUGUCCCCGGUGCGCACGGCCAGCUCCUGCCUGUCCUUGCCCGGCUCCUGCGGAGGGGGACAAGGGUGCUGUCGGAGCAACCCCCUCCCUGGUGCUGGACGGCAUCCCAAAAAGAGCAUCACCGCGUGGCUCCGAGGUCCCGAACCCGGCACCCUCCCGCCCCUCUCACCUCGCUGACACGCUCCACGCUCUGCUCGCUCCCGGCCACGACCCCGUCCGGGUGCCCCUGGGGGCUGCUCAUCCUCCCUGGGGACAGAGAGGGCGGUGGGAGCGGGGUGGCAGCGUCCCCUUGCCAGCCUCGGACCAGCCUUGAUGGAGACCCCCCCACACCCCCAAAAAAAAAAUAA
This 1095-nucleotide long non-coding RNA is filed under the name Anser brachyrhynchus (Pink-footed goose). Its description in RNAcentral is "lncRNA (ENSABRG00000013422.1)". Lineage: Eukaryota; Metazoa; Chordata; Aves; Anseriformes; Anatidae. The record is from RNAcentral.